Molecule: transfer RNA, 77 nt
Filed under: Thermoanaerobacterium thermosaccharolyticum
Lineage: Bacteria; Bacillati; Bacillota; Clostridia; Thermoanaerobacterales; Thermoanaerobacteraceae
Description: tRNA-Val
Rfam family: tRNA
About the family: Transfer RNA (tRNA) molecules are approximately 80 nucleotides in length. Their secondary structure includes four short double-helical elements and three loops (D, anti-codon, and T loops). Further hydrogen bonds mediate the characteristic L-shaped molecular structure. tRNAs have two regions of fundamental functional importance: the anti-codon, which is responsible for specific mRNA codon recognition, and the 3' end, to which the tRNAs corresponding amino acid is attached (by aminoacyl-tRNA synthetases). tRNAs cope with the degeneracy of the genetic code in two manners: having more than one tRNA (with a specific anti-codon) for a particular amino acid; and 'wobble' base-pairing, i.e. permitting non-standard base-pairing at the 3rd anti-codon position.
Source: RNAcentral
GGGGUUAUAGCUCAGCUGGUUAGAGUGCUACGUUGACAUCGUAGAGGUCACAGGUUCGAACCCUGUUAACCCCAUCA